UUCUUCGGAGAGUUUGAUCCUGGCUCAGAACGAACGCUGGCGGCGUGCUUAACACAUGCAAGUCGAACGCGAAAGCCUGGGCAACUGGGCGAGUAGAGUGGCGAACGGGUGAGUAACACGUGGGUAACCUACCCCCGAGUGGGGAAUAACUCCUCGAAAGGGGAGCUAA
Molecule: ribosomal RNA, 169 nt
Filed under: Nitrospinota bacterium
Lineage: Bacteria; Pseudomonadati; Nitrospinota
Description: partial 16S ribosomal RNA
Rfam family: Bacterial small subunit ribosomal RNA
Source: RNAcentral